CCUACGGGAGGCAGCAGUGGGGAAUCUUGCGCAAUGGGGGAAACCCUGACGCAGCAACGCCGCGUGGGUGAUGAAGGCCUUCGGGUCGUAAAGCCCUGUCAGGUGGGAAGAAACUUGUGGAUGUUAAUACCAUCCGCACUUGACGGUACCACCGGAGGAAGCACCGGCUAACUCCGUGCCAGCAGCCGCGGUAAUACGGAGGGUGCAAGCGUUGUUCGGAAUUAUUGGGCGUAAAGCGCGUGUAGGUGGUCAGGUAAGUCAGAUGUGAAAGCCUUCUGCUUAACAGAAGAAGUGCAUUUGAAACUGCUUGGCUAGAGUACGGGAGAGGAGAGUGGAAUUCCCGGUGUAGAGGUGAAAUUCGUAGAUAUCGGGAGGAACACCAGUGGCGAAGGCGGCUCUCUGGUCCGAUACUGACACUGAGACGCGAAAGCGUGGGGAGCAAACAGGAUUAGAUACCCUGGUAGUCCACGCCGUAAACGAUGGGCACUAGGUGUAGGAGGUAUUGACCCCUUCUGUGCCGAAGCUAACGCAUUAAGUGCCCCGCCUGGGGAGUACGGCCGCAAGGCUAAAACUCAAAGGAAUUGACGG
RNAcentral lists this ribosomal RNA (588 nucleotides) under uncultured bacterium. Its description in RNAcentral is "bacterial SSU rRNA". It matches the Rfam family "Bacterial small subunit ribosomal RNA", at positions 338 to 916 of the family's 1533-position model. The record is from RNAcentral.